Molecule: ribosomal RNA, 241 nt
Filed under: uncultured bacterium
Lineage: Bacteria
Description: partial 16S ribosomal RNA
Rfam family: Bacterial small subunit ribosomal RNA
Source: RNAcentral
GAUCCUGGCUCAGGACGAACGCUGGCGGCGUGCCUAACACAUGCAAGUCGAACGGAGUUAAGCUCUUCGGAACUUGACUUAGUGGCGAACGGGUGAGUAACGCGUGAGGAACCUGCCUUUCAGUGGGGGACAACAGUUGGAAACGACUGCUAAUACCGCAUGACACUUUUGGGAGACAUCUCCUGGAAGUCAAAGCUUUAUGUGCUGAAAGAUGGCCUCGCGUCUGAUUAGCUGGUUGGUG